AUUGAACGCUGGCGGCAGGCCUAACACAUGCAAGUCGAGCGGAUGAAGGGAGCUUGCUCCUGGAUUCAGCGGCGGACGGGUGAGUAAUGCCUAGGAAUCUGCCUGGUAGUGGGGGAUAACGUCCGGAAACGGGCGCUAAUACCACAUACGUCCUGAGGGAGAAAGUGGGGGAUCUUCGGACCUCACGCUAUCAGAUGAGCCUAGGUCGGAUUAGCUAGUUGGUGGGGUAAAGGCCUACCAAGGCGACGAUCCGUAACUGGUCUGAGAGGAUGAUCAGUCACACUGGAACUGAGACACGGUCCAGACUCCUACGGGAGGCAGCAGUGGGGAAUAUUGGACAAUGGGCGAAGGCCUGAUCCAGCCAUGCCGCGUGUGUGAAGAAGGUCUUCGGAUUGUAAAGCACUUUAAGUUGGGAGGAAGGGCAGUAAGUUAAUACCUUGCUGUUUUGACGUUACCAACAGAAUAAGCACCGGCUAACUUCGUG
RNAcentral lists this ribosomal RNA (484 nucleotides) under uncultured bacterium. RNAcentral describes it as "partial 16S ribosomal RNA". It matches the Rfam family "Bacterial small subunit ribosomal RNA", at positions 30 to 507 of the family's 1533-position model. The record is from RNAcentral.